This 30-nucleotide non-coding RNA is filed under the name Rattus norvegicus (Norway rat). The record is from RNAcentral. Lineage: Eukaryota; Metazoa; Chordata; Mammalia; Rodentia; Muridae.
UAAAACUGCACAGUAUUUAUUGGAGUCCGU